GACGAACGCUGGCGGCGUGCUUAACACAUGCAAGUCGAACGAAAUGGCGAACGGGUGAGUAACGCGUGAUCACACUGCCAUUGAGUGGGGGACAACAGUUGGAAACGACUGCUAAUACCGCAUACGGAAGGAGGGGAUUGCGACUGAUUAGCUAGUUGGAGGGGUAACGGCCCACCAAGGCGAUGACCAGGAGCCGGUCUGAGGGGGUGAACGGCCACAUUGGGACUGAGACACGGCCCAGAUCCCUACGGGAGGCAGCAGUGGGGAAUCUUCCGAAAUGGACGAAAGUCUGACGGAGCAACGCCGCGUGAGUGAUGACGGGCUUCGGGUUGUAAAGCUCUGUUAAUCGGGACGCGGUACCGGAAUAGAAAGCCACGGCUAACUACGUGCCAGCAGCCGCGGUAAUAC
RNAcentral lists this ribosomal RNA (408 nucleotides) under uncultured bacterium. RNAcentral describes it as "partial 16S ribosomal RNA". It matches the Rfam family "Bacterial small subunit ribosomal RNA", at positions 28 to 526 of the family's 1533-position model. The record is from RNAcentral.